RNAcentral lists this ribosomal RNA (2475 nucleotides) under human gut metagenome. RNAcentral's name for it is "bacterial LSU rRNA". It matches the Rfam family "Bacterial large subunit ribosomal RNA", at positions 1 to 2554 of the family's 2925-position model. The record is from RNAcentral.
UGAAGUAAGUAAGGGCGUACGGUGAAUGCCUUGGUGCCAACAGGCGAAGAAGGACGCGGCAAGCUGCGAAAAGCCUCGGGAAGCUGCAAGCAAGCGAUGAUCCGGGGAUAUCCGAAUGGGGUAACCUGAUCGAGGCAAUACUCGAUCGUUCAUACCUGAAUACAUAGGGUAUGAAACGCGAAACCCGCUGAAGUGAAACAUCUCAGUAAGCGGAGGAAAAGAAAGAGAAAUCGAUUCCGUAAGUAGUGGCGAGCGAAAGCGGAUGGAGCCCAAACCGAAGGUAUUCCUUCGGGGUUGUAGGACCACGUCAUAUUCGACCAUACUGGAUAGUAGAACAGCCUGGAAAGGCUGGCCGGAGAAGGUGAAAGCCCUGUAGACGAAAUCCAGAGUGGGAAUUAGUGGUAUCCUGAGUAAUACAUCACACGUGGAACGAUGUAUGAACCCGCGCGGACCACCGCGCAAGGCUAAAUACUAGUUGGCGACCGAUAGUGAACAAGUACCGCGAGGGAAAGGUGAAAAGAACCGCUGUGAGCGGAGUGAAAUAGAACCUGAAACCGUAUGUCUACAAAGUGUCAGAGCAGAGCAAUCUGCGAUGGCGUGCCUUUUGUUUAAUGAGUCUGCGAGUCAGUGUUUGUGGCAAGACUAAGGGCUUCCGGCCCGGAGUCGCAGCGAAAGCAAGUCCGAACAGGGCGCAAUAAGUCGCAGGUACUGGACCCGAAGCGGAGGUGACCUACCCUUGGCCAGGUUGAAGCAUGGGUAAAACCAUGUGGAGGACCGAACAGGUGAACGUUGAAAAGUUCUCUGAUGAGCUGAGGGUAGGAGUGAAAGGCUAAUCAAACCCCGUGAUAGCUGGUUCUCUUCGAAAUGCAUUUAGGUGCAGCGUCACGUGCUGAUGCGCGGGGGUAGAGCACUGACAAGGCUAGGGGGCACACCCGCUUACCAAACCUUAUCAAACUCCGAAUACCGUGCAAUGGAACGUGGCAGUGAGACAGUGGGGGAUAAGCUUCAUUGUCGAGAGGGAAACAACCCAGACCAGCAGCUAAGGUGCCUAAAUAACGCUCAGUGGAAAGGAUGUGGGAUUACACAGACAGUGAGGAUGUUGGCUUAGAAGCAGCCACCAUUUAAAAAAUGCGUAAUAGCUUACUCAUCGAGUGAUCCUGCGCCGAAAAUGAUUGGCGAUCAAGCGUUAUACCGAAGCUCUGGACUUUGCCGCAAGGCAGAGUGGUAGAAGAGCGUUGCAUGCGCGUCGAAGGGCGAUGGCGACUGACCCUGGAGCACAUGCAAGUGAGUAUGCAGACAUGAGUAACGUUAAGCCGGGUGAAAUCCCCGGCCGCCGUAAACCCGAGGUUUCCAGGGCAACGUGUUUCGUCCCUGGGUUAGCCGGGACCUAAGCCGAGGCCGAGAGGCGUAGGCGAUGGACAUCAGGUUAAUAAUCCUGAGCUCGCAACCCUUAAACUGGGGGGACGCAUGAGAAAAGAUGACUAGGUUAUUGAAUUCCGAGUUGAGUCUACGGACUCAGCGCAUCAUUGGAUCGAGUGCCAAGAAAAGCCCCAGCGUAUGCUAAGCGACCCGUACCGCAAACCGACACAGGUGGGUGGGUAGAAUAUACCAAGGCGUAAGAGUGAAACCUGGUUAAGGAACUCGGCAAAUUAGCCCCGUAACUUCGGAAGAAGGGGUGCCUGCAGCGAUGCAGGCCGCAGAGAAAUGGCCCAACCGACUGUUUAUCAAAAACACAGCACUCUGCAAAGACGCAAGUCGAAGUAUAGGGUGUGACACGUGACCAAUGCCGAAAGAUUAAGGCAAGGGGUUAGCCGCAAGGCGAAGCUCUAAACCCAAGUCCCGGUGAAUGUCGGCCGUAACUAUAACGGUCCUAAGGUAGCGAAAUUCCUUGUCGGGUAAGUUCCGACCUGCACGAAUCGUGAAACGAGUUGGGCACUGUCUCAACCAGGCGCUCAGUGAAAUUGUAGUGGCGGUGAAGAUGCCGCCUACCCGCAGAAGGACGGAAAGACCCUAUAGACCUUAACUGUAAGCUGUCAUUGUUUCUUCGGUUUUAAUGCUCAGAGUAAGUGGGAGACGCUGAAGACGCCCUUUAGGGGGCGUCCGAGUCAUCAAUGAGACACCACCCUUUGAAACUGGAGGAUCUAACCCUGAGCCGUGAAUCCGGCCAGAGGACCGUGUCAGCCGGUCAGUUUUACUGGGGCGGUAUCCUCCCAAAGAGUAACGGAGGAGCGCGAAGGUGGGCUCAGCCCGGUUGGCAACCGGGUGUCGAGUGCAUGGGCAUAAGCCCGCCUAACUGUGAGACCAACAAGUCGAGCAGAUGCGAAAGCAGGCCCAAGUGAUCCGGCGGUAGAAAGUGGAAUUGCCGUCGCUCAACGGAUAAAAGGUACCUUAGGGAUAACAGGCUGAUCACGCCCAAGAGCUCAUAUCGACGGCGUGGUUUGGCACCUCGAUGUCGGCUCGUCGCAUCCUGGGGCU